This 143-nucleotide ribosomal RNA is filed under the name uncultured eukaryote. RNAcentral describes it as "partial 18S ribosomal RNA". It matches the Rfam family "Eukaryotic small subunit ribosomal RNA", at positions 1299 to 1458 of the family's 1831-position model. The record is from RNAcentral.
UGGUGGAGUGAUUUGUCUGGUUAAUUCCGUUAACGAACGAGACCUCAGCCUGCUAACUAGUUACGCGAAGGAUUUCCUCCUUUGCGGCCAACUUCUUAGAGGGACUAUCGGCGUCUAGCCGAUGGAAGUUUGAGGCAAUAACA